RNAcentral lists this ribosomal RNA (465 nucleotides) under uncultured Klebsiella sp. RNAcentral describes it as "bacterial SSU rRNA". It matches the Rfam family "Bacterial small subunit ribosomal RNA", at positions 338 to 795 of the family's 1533-position model. The record is from RNAcentral. Lineage: Bacteria; Pseudomonadati; Pseudomonadota; Gammaproteobacteria; Enterobacterales; Enterobacteriaceae.
CCUACGGGUGGCAGCAGUGGGGAAUAUUGCACAAUGGGCGCAAGCCUGAUGCAGCCAUGCCGCGUGUGUGAAGAAGGCCUUCGGGUUGUAAAGCACUUUCAGCGGGGAGGGAGGCGUUAAGGUUAAUAACCUUGUCGAUUGACGUUACCCGCAGAAGAAGCACCGGCUAACUCCGUGCCAGCAGCCGCGGUAAUACGGAGGGUGCAAGCGUUAAUCGGAAUUACUGGGCGUAAAGCGCACGCAGGCGGUCUGUCAAGUCGGAUGUGAAAUCCCCGGGCUCAACCUGGGAACUGCAUUCGAAACUGGCAGGCUAGAGUCUUGUAGAGGGGGGUAGAAUUCCAGGUGUAGCGGUGAAAUGCGUAGAGAUCUGGAGGAAUACCGGUGGCGAAGGCGGCCCCCUGGACAAAGACUGACGCUCAGGUGCGAAAGCGUGGGGAGCAAACAGGAUUAGAUACCCUUGUAGUC